Hippocampus zosterae (dwarf seahorse) is the source of this 529-nucleotide long non-coding RNA. RefSeq lists it as uncharacterized. NCBI's taxonomy places the organism in Eukaryota, Metazoa, Chordata, Actinopteri, Syngnathiformes, Syngnathidae. The transcript has 2 exons. The record is from RefSeq and is a predicted model, not a curated record.
UGUAAACGCAGACAACAGUUAUGGAGUGUGUUCUUUUCCUGCGCGUUGAUCUACUUCGGGUCAGCUUGGCGAAUGUUGACUGUCGUGCGCGGCUAAUUUGAGCGACUGCACACGACCUCGGAGGAGGAGAGAAUAAUGGAGGAGGACUUGGAAAACUUCUUGCGAUCAAGAAAUGUCGCUCAGGUGGACAUUACGCGCAUGAAAAGCGACAAGGUUGACAUGGAGGUAAUUUCUCUGAUGACUGAAGAGCAAAUGGGCAAAUAUAUCACUUCCUAUGGUGCUCGAAUAGCUGUCCUUUGCUUUUGUCAACAAAAAAUGUCCAGGGGUGAUGAAAUGCUUCUCCAAAGAUUGAGAGACAAAAUAAGAUCGAGGAAAAAAGGUGUACUGGGUGGAUCUCCAAGUGUGCUCCAAAACCUUGAUGAGAGAAUGGCAAGAUUUAAAAAUUUUAUUGGCUCUGUUGUUCAUUUGCACUUUUGAGAUGUAAAACAUCUGGCAUAGUUAACCACGUGAAGGGCAGUCUGCAAUUGUU